GCCAGUUUUAUCAAGUCCCAGACCUGCAGUAAUUACAAAUUUAAGUAACCAGCUUGUGAAAUAAAAUAAUCCAAGAAUUUGAAUCCUAACUAUUUCAAUGAUUUCUAAACCUAAAGGCAUUAAGACCUUCAGUUUCAUUUCUUUAUAUCCUCAACUGAUUGGAAGAAUAAACUAGAAGAAUCCCACUAGUUUAGUUUUCAA
This 201-nucleotide unclassified non-coding RNA is filed under the name Hevea brasiliensis (rubber tree). Lineage: Eukaryota; Viridiplantae; Streptophyta; Magnoliopsida; Malpighiales; Euphorbiaceae. The record is from RNAcentral.